UUUGGGUCUGCUAGGCUACAAACUACAAAAACAUUAGCAGCAGACCCAUCUUUCAAA
Molecule: small RNA, 57 nt
Filed under: Caenorhabditis elegans
Lineage: Eukaryota; Metazoa; Nematoda; Chromadorea; Rhabditida; Rhabditidae
Description: Unclassified non-coding RNA Y59A8B.31
Source: RNAcentral